GGAUUUUCAUCUGACUCUAGAGAGCUAGUUAAGUGUACCUGAAUAAACUGAACCGUGAUCUGAAAAGGCUUCCUUUGCACUGAGACAAUUGAAAAUUAUUACCAGGACUAGUCUCAAAUCUAAAGUAGGCAAAUGCCUAGAUGGUGGGACUUCAGAAUAGUGAUAAAAUUUUAUGUCAUCCAAAUUUUUAUCCAGGACAAAGCCAUUUAUUUCAAAAAAAAAAAAAAAAAAAAAAAAACUAAGUUUCUUUAGAAAUGUUCUUGGUAGACAAGAACACCUGGCAAAAUCAAACUAGGUUAAAGGUGUUUAACCUGGUUAACAGGUGUUUUCUUGACACUAACUUUUGAUAGGAAUAGUAAAGAGGCACUUGAAAAACAGGGUAGAGACACAGGGAGGUAAGCAAAGAAUUCAGAAUGCAAAAUUAAAGGUUCCUAAAGGCAAAUGCCACAAUUCUACAAUUAGGAAACCCUCACUUUAAUGUGUCUACCUAAGAAGUUAGUCACAAAGAGACAGCAGAAACUAUUGAUUCAGCAGAAAGGCCUCUGGCCUCUUUAAACAUGGAGUUUAAAGUAGAAGAUUAAGCAGUUAUCUAAACAAUUCCAGAAGGAAAACACACUUUACAAAAAACUUCAUUACCUAGAUCUUUUAGACAGAUAAAAUUGCUCAUUAUUCUUUUCUUCAUCUUGCCAUGAAAUCAUGAUCAGGAAAAAAAAAAUCAUUUUGGUUUUUCCUUCAGUAAAAGUGUAUUGUGACCUAGAAGACCUGUCUUUAGAAAUGAGCUCAUGCAGGGAGGAAAAAAAUAAAAAGCAGCUGUUAAUUUCAUUUGAUUGAGUAAUCUGCUUAAUGAACUGCUUAGAAACCAUUUAGCAAUGAUAUAAAAACUAAUUUCUCAGCUAUUGGAAAACCAUUAGAAGGAAACCAGUGCAGUCCUGGCAGUAGACAUCUUUGGGUUGUAACAGUUGGCAUCCCUUACUUUGGGAAGCUGCUCCUACUACCAUGGAAUUAAGUGGUACUCAUUGUGCUGCCAACCUCAGCACCCUGCUCUUCCACACACCCCUGGCCCAGGCAAGUAUAGUCCCUUUCUGCCCUGGCCACAGUGAUUGGGCUAGAUGAUCUUAUGACCCAAAUCAGGACAAUUAGAAUCAUUCCUUGAGAUUUUUUAAAUCUGAAGUUCAAAUGAGGAGACCUUUGCAUUUUGAAUCCAAGCUAAAAUUAUCCAAGGGCUAUCUUCAGACUCGUGUAGGUAAAGAUUUUUUGCAGUAGGAGAGAACAAAGCCAACUUACCCAAGCCAAGAUGCAAGAUGCAGAAGCCCUGAUGUCAUCAAGUGUCUAGACCAGUUCCAGAGACCAACCUGUACUCAGAUGACCCGGGGGUGAGAAUGAUCACUUGCCUCUUCUGUCUAAGCUACUUUGAGUUAAUUCCAUCUCUACCUACCAAUCCGGAUUCAUCCAUCAGUGACUAGCUAGAAACUGGAUAAUAACUAGGAAAAAGCCAGUAAUUGAGCUCUACUCAGCAGUGUCUAUGACUAGCAACUGGUUUCAAACUGGUAUGACUUAAUUCAGAUGUUUCCUGUCCAAACCCAUCUGCAAGUACUGAGGCACCAAUGUCACCAUUCUGACUCCUGUCAGCUUCCAUUUUCCCCUCUGUUGUCAGGGGAAGAAUAUUUUCCUACUGACCUGCCUUCUGAGGGAUGCUGAGACUGUUAACUCACACAUACCUGAGAGUUCUCUGAAAAACGAUUUGGUGUUAAAGAGGCAGUAAGUAAGGUCUCAAAGGGGUUCCUCUCUGCACAUAAAAUUUUAUUUUCUUCAUCCUUUGAAAAGGAGUAUAUUAUCAGAGGAUCUCUCUCUCUCUCCCUCUCUCUGCUCCCCUCCCCUCCCUCCUCCUCUCUCCUCCUUCUCCUCUUUCAUCCUUCCUCCCUCCCUCCACACAUACACCCUAAACCUUUGCAGGGAGAAGGAGAGCUUUAUUGUUCGUGUUUACUUAUUUUCUGUAGCAGAGACUGGACACCUACAGUUAGCUAGCAACUUUGCAUUAAAUGCAGUGCCUCUGAUGGAAAGAAAAACAAGAAAUGCAUAAAUCCCAUGAAGACAUGAGGGAGGCAGCAUGGAUAAAUGAGAAUACACAAAGAGAAAAACGGUAGAAGCAAACCAUACUGACACAUAAGCCAGCAAGGUCAAGCAGCAGUUGAGUACUUUCUGAAGUCCCUGAAAAAUCUAUUCCCACCCCAUUGGCUCAUACACAAAAUUCCACUCACGGUAUUUGAUGCCUUUACUUAGAGUGAUGAUAGCUCUGAAAUAAUAAUCCUUCACCAUGCCACAGAAUUCUGUAACCACAAAGCUCUUUCAUAACUACUGCCUGUCUUGAUUCAUAGCAAUGAAUGGUGGGUGGACAGAGUAGAGACUAUUACUCCCAUUUUAUAAAUUAAAACUGAGGCUUAGGAAGAUCUAGAGACUCACCUAAAGUCACAUAAGCAAGAGUGUACGAGCUGGGGCUGAAAUAUUAGCUUCUUGACUCAUGAUCUCUGCACUUCAAAUGAGAACCCCAGACAGUUGCUGGUCCUGUGAUAUCCCUUAUGUGAAGAGAAAAAGUAAAAGCAUGUACCAGCUAACUUGAGGAUGUAAUUGGCCAAGGGACGGCUCUACAAAUUAAAGAGUGGAAAAGAAGGAAAUUUAAUAAAUAAAUGUAAUAAUUGUUUUGCAGGUAGAGCCAUGCUAAAUGGUGGUCUGACAGGAUCGAUGUUUUUGGUGCCAUCACUAGAAAUUUAGGGAGAUGCAGAAAAUUCUGCUCACCAGAAUGCCUCAUGGAGAGCCCUCUUUGUAAUUGCAAUGAAAGCUUUCUAGGGUGUUAAUCGAGAGCUUUUUGCUUUCUUAUGUGGGACACUCAGAUAGAGACAAUUAUGCCAUUAUCCCUAAUAACCAGUACUCUAUUCUACAUAGUGAUUUAAAAAAUAAUUAAUAAUUAAAGAAUAUCAUAU
RNAcentral lists this long non-coding RNA (2978 nucleotides) under Canis lupus familiaris (dog). Its description in RNAcentral is "lncRNA (ENSCAFG00845005047.1)". The record is from RNAcentral. Lineage: Eukaryota; Metazoa; Chordata; Mammalia; Carnivora; Canidae.